CCCUCCCCUAGGUAUAAUCAGUACCUAUGUUUGGCCUCAUCGCUCUCUUCACAUCCCAGGAGGCAGCUAAGCUCUCAUCAGAACAGUCAGUGUUGUUGGCAACUGUGAAGUGAAGGAAUGGCAGUCACAAGCCUGUCCCUCCCCCCAUCUCGUUAAAGGUAGCUCCUCAAGUAUCCAGGUGAGGAGCAGGGAAGAAAUGGCCAAGAAGCUUUGCUAGUGCCACACUUGCAAUCCGGCAGAUUUUAAAAUGCAUUCAAGUCCUCAGUCCCAGAAUCUGGCUAGGGGAGAAAACUUGGAGCUCCAUGAGUUGUUACUUUUAAGGAGGAAAUAAAACCAACCACCCCUCCCCCAAUUUAAGAAAAAUAAUUGCUUGGGUGGAGCAGCUGUGAGCAACUGUAAUUGGUCCCAGCAGCAUAUGGUCUCUCCUCAGAGAGGUAGACUCAGGGACUGCUCCAAAGGGGCUGCCAGUUGCAAAAAUCAGAUGUCUGUUGGAAGAGGGGUGGCAAGACCUUCUGAAUCGGAGCUGUACAGGCAGCCUGGGCACUGCAGGAUGGGAGUGUCCCUGAGUACUCGACAGGGUCAAGGCUUAUAAGGAAGGAAAACCACACCCCCCAAAAGACUGCAAUUCAAAGUCUGCUGCCAUGAAAUGGAAGAAGAGAAGAAAGAGGAAGAGUUUCACACCACAGCAGUCACCUUGAGGGACAAAUCAAGGAUUCUUCGAUGUGUCAAAUGUAAAGGUCAAUGAAGCUUGCAGGACAGUUUCAUCAUCAUCCUAUGUGCUAAUUUCCUCACAUUUAUGUCAUAAUCUGGCCUAGUCAAUUUUAUAAAAUAUCAUGAGGUCCAACACAUUGUAUUAUGGUCACAAAAUUUGCCACUACUCCAGAGCACCACGCUCUCAUAAAUAAGCAUCUGCCAGCAGCAAAGAACUCAAAAGUCUCCUAUAAACACACACCCUAAAACACUAAAGAAACAAAAGGAUGAGUAAAAUA
RNAcentral lists this long non-coding RNA (989 nucleotides) under Phascolarctos cinereus (koala). RNAcentral describes it as "lncRNA (ENSPCIG00000032785.1)". The record is from RNAcentral. Lineage: Eukaryota; Metazoa; Chordata; Mammalia; Diprotodontia; Phascolarctidae.